RNAcentral lists this non-coding RNA (47 nucleotides) under unclassified sequences. RNAcentral's name for it is "ssNA-helicase RNA". It matches the Rfam family "ssNA-helicase RNA". From Rfam's summary of the family: Firmicutes, Actinobacteria (1 example). Downstream gene The record is from Rfam by way of RNAcentral.
UUCGCUAAGGCUAGUAUUACCUUAGCGAACAUCUGUCGCUUGUCGCA